GGCCUAUGGGGCGACCCAGGCUUAUCGCGUGCCUAUUGAAGAAUGAGCCGGCGACUUACUAGUACGGCGAGGUUAAGGACUGAGGUUCCGGAGCCGGAGCGAAAGCGAGUCUGAACAGGGCGUUUAGUCCGUAUUAGUAGACCCGAAGCGAAGUGACCUAUCCAUGGUCAGGGUGAAGCUCUCUUAACCGUGAGUGGAGGCCCGAACCGAUGUUUGUUGCAAAAGACUCGGAUGAACUGUGGAUAGCGGUGAAAUGCCAAUCGAACUUCGUAAUAGCUGGUUCUCCCCGAAAUAGCUCUAGGGCUAGCGUCGGGAUUUAAACACUGGGGGUAGAGCACUGACAGAGCUAGGGGCCCUGACCGGUUACUGAACUCCAUCAAACUCCGAAUACCAGUGUGAAUAUCCCGGCAGUCAGACUACGUGGGAUAAGCUGCGUGGUCAAAAGGGAAACAGCCCAGAUCGUCUGCUAAGGUCCCUAAAUUUCAGCUAAGUGGUAAAGGAAGUCAGAAUUCUUAGACAGCCAGGAGGUUGGCUUAGA
RNAcentral lists this ribosomal RNA (538 nucleotides) under uncultured bacterium. RNAcentral describes it as "bacterial LSU rRNA". It matches the Rfam family "Bacterial large subunit ribosomal RNA", at positions 579 to 1110 of the family's 2925-position model. The record is from RNAcentral.